AGAACGAACGCUGGCGGCAUGCCUAACACAUGCAAGUCGAACGAGACCUUCGGGUCUAGUGGCGCACGGGUGCGUAACGCGUGGGAAUCUGCCCUUGGGUUCGGGAUAACAGUUGGAAACGACUGCUAAUACCGGAUGAUGACUUCGGUCCAAAGAUUUAUCGCCCAGGGAUGAGCCCGCGUCGGAUUAGCUAGUUGGUGGGGUAAAGGCCUACCAAGGCGACGAUCCGUAGCUGGUCUGAGAGGAUGAUCAGCCACACUGGGACUGAGACACGGCCCAGACUCCGUACGGGAGGCAGCAGGUGGGGAAUAUUGGACAAGUGGGCAAAGCCUGAUCCUGCAAUGCCGCGUGAGUGAUGAAGGUCCUUAGGUUGUAAAGCUCGUUUACCGGAUGAUAAUGACGAGUAACCGGAGUAACUAACGCCCCGGUACUAACCGUCCGCCGCCAGCCGAGCCGGAC
This 459-nucleotide ribosomal RNA is filed under the name uncultured soil bacterium. RNAcentral's name for it is "bacterial SSU rRNA". It matches the Rfam family "Bacterial small subunit ribosomal RNA", at positions 26 to 528 of the family's 1533-position model. The record is from RNAcentral.